GACGAACGCUGGCGGCGUGCUUAACACAUGCAAGUCGAACGGAAAGGCCCUGCUUUUGUGGGGUGCUCGAGUGGCGAACGGGUGAGUAACACGUGAGUAACCUGCCCUUGACUUUGGGAUAACUUCAGGAAACUGGGGCUAAUACCGGAUAGGAGCUCCUGCUGCAUGGUGGGGGUUGGAAAGUUUCGGCGGUUGGGGAUGGACUCGCGGCUUAUCAGCUUGUUGGUGGGGUAGUGGCUUACCAAGGCUUUGACGGGUAGCCGGCCUGAGAGGGGUGCCGGCCACAUUGGGACUGAGAUCCGGCCCCGACCCCUCCGGGGGGCAGCAGUGGGGAUUAUUGCACAAGGGGCGGAAGCCUGAUCCAGCACCCCCGCGUGCGGGAUGACGGCCUUCGGGUUGUAACCCGCUUUCCCCUGUGCCGAAGCGUGGGUGCCGGUAAUGGGUAAAGAAGCCCCGGCUAACUACGU
This 467-nucleotide ribosomal RNA is filed under the name uncultured bacterium. RNAcentral describes it as "partial 16S ribosomal RNA". It matches the Rfam family "Bacterial small subunit ribosomal RNA", at positions 28 to 506 of the family's 1533-position model. The record is from RNAcentral.